Molecule: long non-coding RNA, 578 nt
Filed under: Homo sapiens (human)
Lineage: Eukaryota; Metazoa; Chordata; Mammalia; Primates; Hominidae
Description: novel transcript
Source: RNAcentral
CACUUGGCUCCCUCUAGGGAAGUACUCCCAGCUGCCCACAGUCAUCCUUCUCCAUCCCACUGACCUUCCACCCGUGACCAAUCAGGAGAUGUUUCCAGUUUAUUGGUGAAUUUAUUAGGGCUCAGAGAGGAUGACCUAUCCAAGGUCCCACUGCCAACUGAAUGUAGGACAAGUCUCUGAACCCAGUGUGCCCCUGCCAGAAAGUAGCAGGGAUCACAGAAGUCCAGCAGAGGUCUGCCGCCUUGGACCCCGCCUCUUACACAUUGAGUGUGGUUUCUGCAGUGAUGGGCUUCUCUCUUCCCUGGAGACGUAAAACCAGAAGGAUUCAGAAGGAUCUGCCAAAGGAAAUCUGGACCCCAUAAACGAUCAGGUAAUUUCAUGUACAUAAGGGUGUUCUAGAGGAAAGAUGGCUGUCACCACCCUGCGAGGGACCCUUUCACAUGUUCUGAUAUGAUUAUCAAAGUGAAAUAAAAAUCCAGCUGGAUUCAUGCUUUCAACUGGACUUGGAUUCCCACAAGGACUUGAAACUUAAAUCUUCUAGAAUAAAUGAUAUUGGUACUGAAUUCAACUGAAAAGAA